GUGCGUCCUAUGGGGCGAAUGCAGGCUUCAGGAAGCUAUCCGCAAGCCUUGGGAGCCCGCAGGAGUUCCCGCGGGGCUCCCAAGGCUUGCGCAAAGCAGCCUGCAGCCCGAAACCCGGGAAGCGC
Podarcis lilfordi (Lilford's wall lizard) is the source of this 125-nucleotide non-coding RNA. NCBI's taxonomy places the organism in Eukaryota, Metazoa, Chordata, Lepidosauria, Squamata, Lacertidae. The record is from the annotation of a GenBank genome assembly.